CCAUCACCACCUUUCUUUUCUUCCGCAAGAUUUCUGAGGCACAGGCGGACAGGGGGCCAGGAGAGCUGCCCCCUUCUACCUCCCCAGGUGAGGGGAACGGCCAUAAGGGGCGUCUCCGACCCGAAAUUGAUACCUAGGAUUGAACCCCAGAGCGGAAAAGUGCGGCCAGAGCCGUUUACCUCCAAAUAACGUUGGGAAGAGACUUUAUCUUGCUCUGCUGCUGUCCGAUGCUAUGGUGAAGUCCAUAUUGUAAAAGUCAGAGGAAUGUUCUUGAAAAGAAAAGCAAAAACAAAACGCGAGAGGCUUUCUUUUUAAACCGUCUUUAUUCCUGUAGAUGCAUGAGCAAGAUCGGUUUUGUAUUUGCGAAAUGGCAGUCUGAUUCAGCUCUAUAAUAAUCACAUAGCUUGAUUAUUUUCUGGGUGGGGAUGCAUUUGACUCAAGACAAGUUGUGCAGUGUAGACAUUUAUUUAGUAAAUAUUUGGGCGCACGCCGGGUGUCCAGGGCUGUUAGCGUUUGGAAGAGCCCGCAGCGCAUGGAAGCACACACUUGGUCACUGUUGGUUCCGGCCUCAAGUGGGCGUCUUGUUGCAGCACCCGAAGCCUGUCUUACUGCGCAGAUUUCUCAGUCCCGGUGUUAGAACCACCUAGGAAUUUCUUUCUGUGAUUUUUCUGGUGUUCUUAAUCCGGACGAAGAAGGAAAUAGGGAAAACAGUGCCUUCAACUCAAGGUGCAGUGCGCAGUGGCCAAAGUGGCGGGGAAGCAAUUGAAGCUCACGGCAGUUAUCACCGGGCAGGUCAAAUGGAAGGACCAGUUCCAUAAAUAUGUAUGAGAAAAAUGUCAACUCACAAACCUAGCUAAUAAAAAGGGCAAAGUACUGCUGCUAAGUUGCUUCAGUCAUGUCCAACUCUGUGCGACCCCAUAGAUGGCAGCCCACCAGGCUCCCCCGUCCCUGGGAUUCUCCACGCAAGAACACUGGAGUGGGUUGCCAUUUCUUUCUCCAGUCCAUGAAAGUGAAAAGUGAAAGUGAAGUCACUCAGUCGUGUCUGACCCUCAGCGACCCCAUGGACUGCAACCUACCUGGCUCAUUCUGUCCGUGGGAUUUUAUAGGCAAGAGUACUGGAGUGGGGUGCCAUUGCCUUCUCCGAAGGACAAAGUAAGUAUUAUACUAUGUACAGCAGAUAAAUCCAUCCCAUGGAUCUUAUUACAGUGAAAGGUAUAGGUUGUGAAACUAUUUUCAUUUCUAUUUUAAAUUAUCAGGUAUCUAAAUUUUUCAUGAAUUUUUAUCAAAUAUGC
Long non-coding RNA from Bos taurus (domestic cattle), 1292 nucleotides. The record is from Ensembl. NCBI's taxonomy places the organism in Eukaryota, Metazoa, Chordata, Mammalia, Artiodactyla, Bovidae.